This 433-nucleotide ribosomal RNA is filed under the name uncultured bacterium. RNAcentral's name for it is "partial 16S ribosomal RNA". It matches the Rfam family "Bacterial small subunit ribosomal RNA", at positions 29 to 507 of the family's 1533-position model. The record is from RNAcentral.
AACGAACGCUGGCGGCAUGCCUAACACAUGCAAGUCGAACGAGACCUUCGGGUCUAGUGGCGCACGGGUGCGUAACGCGUGGGAACCUGCCCUUAGGUUCGGAAUAACUCCCCGAAAGGGGUGCUAAUACCGGAUAAUGUCUUCGGACCAAAGAUUUAUCGCCUUUGGAUGGGCCCGCGUUGGAUUAGCUAGUUGGUAGGGUAAAAGCCUACCACGGCGACGAUCCAUAGCUGGUAUGAGAGGAUGAGCAGCCACACUGGGACGGAGACACGGCCCAGAAUACUACGGGAGGGAGGAGAGGGGAAUAUUGGAAAAUGGGGGAAAGGAUGAUCCAGCAAUGCCGGGUGAGUGAUGAAGGCCGGAGGGAAGUAAAGCUCUUUUACACGGGAUGAUAAUGACAGUACCGGGAGAAUAAGCUCCGGCUAACUCCGUG